GGAGUUAGUAAACAUAAAGCCUUGAGAAGACACCGUGCCCAUAGUAUGCAUUGUGAAAAUGUGAGCUCACUCUUUCUCUUAUUUCUACCUAGAUAAAGUCCCCACUGAAGUUGUCUUGAAGAGUGAAAGUGACUUUUGCAAAGAUUACGUGAGCCGGACUUUGCCUGCUCUCUCCCGGAAUUCUGUUCCCUGCCCAACACAAUUCUAUGAUUGGCACAUGAUCAAGAGACCCAACAGAGGGACUUCUAUCAGGGAAGACCGAAGACAUUGGUUGGCACAUUUGCUACUUUUCCUGAAACCUUCUUUUCCCUGUGGUGUGCCAGAUUGGUGAGGAUGCGAAUCACUGUGCACUGCCUGACUUUUCCAAGCCAGGAGUAAACUGCUAUGCAUCCUCCAGCUGCAAGGGAUUGAACGCUAUCAACAACCAUAUGAAUGGAGAAGCGGUUGCUUCCCUAGCUGAGCCUCAGGUAAGAACCCAGACCUGGCCAACACCUUAAUGGCAGCUUUGUGAAACCCUAA
Molecule: long non-coding RNA, 519 nt
Filed under: Papio anubis (olive baboon)
Lineage: Eukaryota; Metazoa; Chordata; Mammalia; Primates; Cercopithecidae
Description: lncRNA (ENSPANG00000036790.2)
Source: RNAcentral